GAUGAAGAACGUAGCGAAAUGCGAUAAGUAAUGUGAAUUGCAGAAUUCAGUGAAUCGUCGAAUCUUUGAACGCACAUUGCGCCCGCCAGCAUUCUGGCGGGCAUGCCUGUUCGAGCGUCAUUUCAACCCUCGAGCCCCCCCGGGGGCCUCGGUGUUGGGGGACGGCACACCAGCCGCCCCCGAAAUGCAGUGGCGACCCCGCCGCAGCCUCCCCUGCGUAGUAGCACACACCUCGCACCGGAGCGCGGAGGCGGUCACGCCGUAAAACGCCCAACUUUCUUAGAGUUGACCUCGGAUCAGGUAGGAAUACCCGCUGAACUUAAGCAUAUCAAUAAGCGGAGGA
This 343-nucleotide unclassified non-coding RNA is filed under the name soil metagenome. Its description in RNAcentral is "partial contains 5.8S ribosomal RNA, internal transcribed spacer 2, and large subunit ribosomal RNA". The stretch from base 1 to 120 matches the Rfam family "5.8S ribosomal RNA", at positions 35 to 154 of the family's 154-position model. The record is from RNAcentral.